Long non-coding RNA from Populus nigra (black poplar), 3254 nucleotides. RefSeq lists it as uncharacterized. The record is from RefSeq and is a predicted model, not a curated record. The transcript has 2 exons. Lineage: Eukaryota; Viridiplantae; Streptophyta; Magnoliopsida; Malpighiales; Salicaceae.
GAGGCAUGAAACCACAGCAACUCCAAAAUACCAAAACGGUGGCUCACUUUUCCACAAGCUAAAGGUAACGCGUAGGCUCCUCUGCAAUUCAUCAUUCGUUUAUCAACUUUAUCAUGCGCGUGAUGAGUGAAUGGGAGUGGAAGCAAGAUAAGAGCAAUGUCUUCUUUUUAAGGCUGCUAGAAGAAUGAUCGAUACAGUUGUAUUCUAUACUGGGUUCCUGGUAGCUGCAAAGAAAGACUUGUGCCUAUAGCCUCUAAGUGGAUGGAUGUCUGCUGUGAUGUGGGACUGGGAUACCACUCCGAACCAAACCCUAAGAGACUCUAUGUAAGUGCCCUUUUUUACCGUUGCAUUUGUGCAGGGUUCAAUACUUCUCCUAACAAUGGCAUCAUUUCCUAUAUAUUUGGGCAUUGCAAUACCAAUACUAAAUUAAUAAUGUCUUGAAUUGCAAUAUUAUUGAUCCCAUUUUGGAGAAGAUUGCUCUUCCCUUUUGAGUGUUCUAAGUGUGCCAGAGAAACGAGAAACUGGCACCAUGCUAUUGAAUUUAGGGGCAGAUGUUUUAGCAAUUGAACAUAUACUAGAACCCUUUUAGUAUUAAUUCUUAUUUCCUAAUAUGAUCAUAUAAACGUAUGGUCAAGGCAUUUAGGGGAAGAAACAAGAAUUUGAAAUGUAAGAUGCUAAAUUCCUUAAUUAAUAAUGUAUGAAACAAUCAGCUACGUUCUCCGUUCAAAUUUCCAGACUGACCUGGUAUUAAGUCUAUAAUAGUUUAGAACUUGAGAUUUACCCUCAUAAACUCGAUGCUUCAUCAUAAAAGCAUCUCUUUGUUUGAACUUCUUUUUCGUUGAAAAAUAUGAUGUGUCAGCAUGAUAUGAACGGAACCUAAAUAAUUAGAGUUCUAUGAUAGUCAUCCACUAGAUGAACACAUACAUUGCAAGUUUGAAAUCGUUUGAUGGUGUUGUCAUCAUUUUCUCGAAUAUCAUCAUUAAUUGUGCGCAUUUCAGGUGAUUCAUCGAAGUUUCUAUCAUUCUAAGCCUUGAUGUAUACAAGGUCUCAAAUUACUCAUCUCCAUACAAUGUCUUGCUAUUGAAUGGAAUCAAUUGUCUAGGGCAAUCUCAUUACUAUAAUUUUAAUUAGGAGAAACCAAUAAUGGAUUACAUAUACAAUGGAAGCAAAUGGUGAGAAACUGGCCUUUAUUGAUGCAAUAGAACAUAUCCUUCUCUAUAAUUUGGCAAGAAGGUAUGAGGAAUGCUUGUAAAGCUUGUGAAAUACUCAUGCUUUAAAACUAUCAUCUAUAACCUACUUAAAAGCAUAUGAUUCCUGUAAUUGUAUACCAUGGAAAAAACAGAAGUUCAAGCAAAAUUUGAAUGCCAGUAGGUUAUACAUUUUUCGUCCUAUAGGAUUAAAAUAAUUAAUGAAUUUAUUUAAGAGCCAUGUGUCCUAUUCUUGAUGCUACUAUUAGAGCAGACCAUAAAUAUUUUUAUGUUCCGUAAAUUCCUAAAUAAGUUUUUCGUGUGAUUAUACAGGGGUUAUUACAUCUCUAAUAGCUAAUUAGUUGCAUGUUUUGCUGUGAUAUGACUACUCAUGCGCAACAACUUGCGGAUCUCAUUGACAUCGAAAAUGUUUCAUGAAUACAUAGAAGUGCUUUAUCAAGUGGAUGCUGAAUGCAACAUUCAUGCCCUAAAUGGGCUCUUGUCGAGCGCGAAUAGCCACUGGUGUGUUGCCCACUGAUUCUGCAUAGCUAUUAGACCCACGCAAACGGUGAUGAGGACCCUGAAUGACCUACUAGGAAUCUUCUGUCACCUAUGGAAGAUUUUCGUAGAUUCUUUGGCUCAUAGAUCCCAAUACCGUCUUCUCAAAAUUUAAUGAGCAUGCAAUUGAAUGCUUUCACCACCUUGGACAUUUUAUUGUAUGGUGGGCUUGGGGUACCCCAGUUAAGGGACCCUUUUCUCACAAUGGUGCAGUUUAAAGGGAAUGUUAAUGGAGACCUGUGACUCCCAUGAACGUGGAUACUUAAAGUGCAAAAGCAAUAAAUGAAGAGAGAGAGAGAGAGAGAGAGUCAAAGAUGGUUUUGAUUGAGGAUAGUAUUUGAGGCUUCACGCCACAAUAUAUCUUAGAUGCUAAAACACUUGCUCUACAAGAUAAGCAUGACAUUUUUUUUUGUGAGUUGUCAUUCCUUUGUUCUUGUUUUGAUAGGAGUCCCAGGGUCAAAUUCCACCAGGCUUGUGUAUUGGUGGCUAUUAUUGGAUAUAAGAUUAUGAUAUUUUGUUUUGUCCAGGGAUAUGGUUGUUCCUUGUGCUUUAGGUAUCUGGCAACCAUUGGAAUUGACUGAUCUAAGCAAACACACAAGCCAUUAAGUUAUCUCUUGUGCUUUUUCAUGUGUAUUUGUGUGGAUACUGUCCAUAUGGUUCUUGGUAUCUUGUUUCAUCCAGGGAUUUACAUGUUCCAUGUGUUAUUUCAUGUCUGGCAACUAUUGGAAUCGACUGAUCACGCAACUCCAUUAGUGGUGAAACUAUUGUGUGUUUCGCUUACAUAUGUGUAUAAAGUGCAAAGUUGUGCUGGUGAACUCUAUUUUCUUCUUUGCAAUCUCUCUAAUGCAAGUACGCAGAACUUUAGGCCAUUCUCUUCAGUGCCUUGAACCCUGAACCCUUAACUAACCGAAUGGAGUUGGGCAUGCAUUAGCUAAGACACCUACCUGAUUCUUUCUUUCUAGUUUUUUGGGCUUAGACCCACUUCUUUAACCCAAAAAAAAAAAAACUGAAUGGCGGCUUGGGUGCAUGAAGAUUAAUCUGGAUGAACAGAUGCGGUUGCAUUAUAUUGAUAACUUUGAAAGGAGAAAUGUUGUAUAUAGAGUAGGGUUUUGCUUUCCCAAGUCCUACCUUUCCUCAGUAGAAGCAGAUGCUAAAAAAGGGACAAUUUGUUGCCUUCCACAAUUAUCCCCUUUAAGCAACUUGAAUUCCCAUAUCUGGUUUUCAAGCACUACAUCAAAUCAUCUCCCAUGCACAUAAUUUCUAGCAGGAAUCGAAUUCUGGAGAGCAUCUUUUCCCCUUUUGGGGCGUGCUGGUGCAACACCAUUGGUUUAAAUACCCGGCAUAGCUACAGAUUCAUGAAAUACUCCAGUUUUAUAUUUCUUUUUGAUUGCUUGAUGAAGGUCAUGUCUAUGAUGUUAAAUAUAUAAAAUUCUCUAGAUAAGGCCGAGGCCAGCAUGUGGAUCUAUUGAUAUGGUAUUUAAUUAGUACUAUCAGGUGUCUUUCCAAGAA